AUGACAAAAGGCUUUACAUAUCCCAGCAUGAAAGAGUUCAAGUUGGCACUUUCUCAGCAUGCAAUCAAACGUGAAUUUGAGUAUAACAUCGAGUAUAGUACCCGUCAUCGGUUUAGGGGCUAUUGUUCAAGACGGGAUGCAGAUAAUUGUCCCUGGAGGAUACAUGCUUCUACAACAGAAGAUAAGUGUACCGUGAUGGUGAAGAAAAACCCAUGUGGUCAUGAUUGCUCUAGUACAAGAAGGAAAAAGAAGACGAAGAAUGGAACCAAGCAUUGGGUAUGUGAUAAGGUGAAGGAUUGUCUGAUUGAAGAUGCAACUCUCGGAGCGAAGGCAUUGCAAAAGAAGAUUAAAGAACACCACAAGGUUGACCUCCACUACAAGAGAGUAUAUAUGGGGGUAAAGGAAGUUUUCCCAGAAGUAGAACAUAGGGAAUGCAUGUUUCACUUGGUGUCAAACUUCAAGAAAAAGUAUCACGGAAAGGUAUUUGAUGACCAUCUUUGGAAUGUUGCUUACUCAUGGAAUACAUAUAUAUUUGAGAAAAAUUGGGUUGCAAUGGAAACAGCAAAGCCAGCAGCAACUGCAUAUCUUAGGAAAUGGCACACUAGUUUGUGGACUAGGAGUCAGUUCUCAACCAUUUGUAAGGUGGACUAUGUAACCAACAACCUGGCAGAGUGCUUCAAUAAUUGGAUUAAGCACCACAAGUCUUUGAACUUGGACGACUUAAUGGACAAGCUUAGGCAGAUGAUUAUGAUCAUGUGGAAUCGCCGGAGAAAAGUAGCGAAGAAGUUAGUUGGCUUAAUUUUGCCCCACAUAAUUAAGAAGUUGAAUGCAGAGAGUAGAGAGUUGAACUUGGAGGUGGUAGAAAGCUCGGAAGAAGUUGCUGAAGUUACUCAAUUGGGAGGCAGCGGGUUUAGGUUUGUCGUCAACUUGCAUGACAACACAUGCUCUUGUAGACAAUGGCAAGUUUCUGGCCUUCCUUGCAAACAUGCUCUAGCAUUCAUCACAUCACUUGUCAAUGCACAUAUACAGAAUUAUGUGGACUCGUAUUACUCCAUUGACAAGUUUAGAGCAGCUUAUGGCCAACUAAUCCCUGCUAUGUGUGACAAGACCCAGUGGCCUAAAUCUAACCAUGGAUUCUUCAUGCAUCCACCCUUGUUAAAAGCCGUAGCUGGUCGGCCCCAAACAGAGAGGCAUAAGGGUUGUAGUGAGAAAAAGAGGAAAAGUGGCCAGCACUUAUGCCCUAUUUGUAAGGAAUACGGGCACCAUUGGCACAAGUGCAAGAAGGGGAACAAAUAUGACAUUGCUGCUUUGAUGGAGUUGAGAGAACCACCAAAGAAGAGGAGGAAGACUACCAAAUCAGCCGAGUCAUCCAUUGUGCCAAGAGGUGAUGAAGCACCGGCAACCGCUAUGUAUUUUCCACCAAGCCAAAGCUUAGAAAUUCCAACCAAGAAGAAAGGAAAACAUAGCCAAACUUUGAAGACUACAAAUAAGAAAAAUGCAAAAGGGUGUAAAAGAUCAGGGAAGGGGAAUAAGAUGGAGCUUGCUAAAAAGGAUGAAAGUUGUCCUAUGGUGCCACCAUUCGACAGCCCCGCAAUGAGCACAAGAAGCAAAAAAGCUAACCUAGCCAGCCCCGCAAUGAGCACAAGGAGUAGAAGAAGACUUAGCUUGUGA
RNAcentral lists this ribosomal RNA (1671 nucleotides) under Triticum aestivum (bread wheat). Its description in RNAcentral is "partial small subunit ribosomal RNA". The record is from RNAcentral. Lineage: Eukaryota; Viridiplantae; Streptophyta; Magnoliopsida; Poales; Poaceae.